AGGACGAACGCUGGCGGCGUGCUUAACACAUGCAAGUCGAACGGAAAGGCCCUGCUUUUGUGGGGUGCUCGAGUGGCGAACGGGUGAGUAACACGUGAGUAACCUGCCCUUGACUUUGGGAUAACUUCAGGAAACUGGGGCUAAUACCGGAUAGGAGCUCCUGCUGCAUGGUGGGGGUUGGAAAGUUUCGGCGGUUGGGGAUGGACUCGCGGCUUAUCAGCUUGUGGUGGGUAGUGGCUUACCAGGCUUUGACGGGUA
This 258-nucleotide ribosomal RNA is filed under the name uncultured soil bacterium. Its description in RNAcentral is "partial 16S ribosomal RNA". It matches the Rfam family "Bacterial small subunit ribosomal RNA", at positions 26 to 285 of the family's 1533-position model. The record is from RNAcentral.